AGGUGCGAUCAUACCAGCACUAAUGCACCGGAUCCCAUCAGAACUCCGCAGUUAAGCGCUUGGCGAGAGUAGUACUAGGAUGGGUGACCUCCUGGGAAGUCCUUGUGUUGCACCUCUUUUUGCCAAAAUUUCUUGUUCUUUUUGUUAAUUAGCGUAAUUUUACGUCGUUUUUGAAAAAUAAACUUCAAUUGUAUUUCAUUUUUUCCGUUAAUUUACGCAACCUAAAACUCUAUUCGUUAAUUAGCGUAGUUUGACGUCUUUUUUGAAAAAUAAACUUAGAAAUGCAUAUAUACAAUUACAACGCUUUACUCUCAGGUGCGAUCAUACCAGCACUAAUGCACCGGAUCCCAUCAGAACUCCGCAGUUAAGCGGCUUGGGCGAGAGUAGUACUAGGAUGGGUGACCUCCUGGGAAGUCCUUGUGUUGCACCUCUUUUUGCCAAAAUUUCUUGUUCUUUUUGUUAAUUAGCGUAAUUUUACGUCGUUUUUGAAAAAUAAACUUCAAUUGUAUUUCAUUUUUUCCGUUAAUUUACGCAACCUAAAACUCUAUUCGUUAAUUAGCGUAGUUUGACGUCUUUUUUGAAAAAUAAACUUAGAAAUGCAUAUAUACAAUUACAACGCUUUACUCUCAGGUGCGAUCAUACCAGCACUAAUGCACCGGAUCCCAUCAGAACUCCGCAGUUAAGCGCGCUUGGGCGAGAGUAGUACUAGGAUGGGUGACCUCCUGGGAAGUCCUUGUGUUGCACCUCUUUUUGCCAAAAUUUCUUGUUCUUUUUGUUAAUUAGCGUAAUUUUACGUCGUUUUUGAAAAAUAAACUUCAAUUGUAUUUCAUUUUUUCCGUUAAUUUACGCAACCUAAAACUCUAUUCGUUAAUUAGCGUAGUUUGACGUCUUUUUUGAAAAAUAAACUUAGAAAUGCAUAUAUACAAUUACAACGCUUUACUCUCAGGUGCGAUCAUACCAGCACUAAUGCACCGGAUCCCAUCAGAACUCCGCAGUUAAGCGGCUUGGGCGAGAGUAGUACUAGGAUGGGUGACCUCCUGGGAAGUCCUUGUGUUGCACCUCUUUUUGCCAAAAUUUCUUGUUCUUUUUGUUAAUUAGCGUAAUUUUACGUCGUUUUUGAAAAAUAAACUUCAAUUGUAUUUCAUUUUUUCCGUUAAUUUACGCAACCUAAAACUCUAUUCGUUAAUUAGCGUAGUUUGACGUCUUUUUUGAAAAAUAAACUUAGAAAUGCAUAUAUACAAUUACAACGCUUUACUCUCAGGUGCGAUCAUACCAGCACUAAUGCACCGGAUCCCAUCAGAACUCCGCAGUUAAGCGGCUUGGGCGAGAGUAGUACUAGGAUGGGUGACCUCCUGGGAAGUCCUUGUGUUGCACCUCUUUUUGCCAAAAUUUCUUGUUCUUUUUGUUAAUUAGCGUAAUUUUACGUCGUUUUUGAAAAAUAAACUUCAAUUGUAUUUCAUUUUUUCCGUUAAUUUACGCAACCUAAAACUCUAUUCGUUAAUUAGCGUAGUUUGACGUCUUUUUUGAAAAAUAAACUUAGAAAUGCAUAUAUACAAUUACAACGCUUUACUCUCAGGUGCGAUCAUACCAGCACUAAUGCACCGGAUCCCAUCAGAACUCCGCAGUUAAGCGGCUUGGGCGAGAGUAGUACUAGGAUGGGUGACCUCCUGGGAAGUCCUUGUGUUGCACCUCUUUUUGCCAAAAUUUCUUGUUCUUUUUGUUAAUUAGCGUAAUUUUACGUCGUUUUUGAAAAAUAAACUUCAAUUGUAUUUCAUUUUUUCCGUUAAUUUACGCAACCUAAAACUCUAUUCGUUAAUUAGCGUAGUUUGACGUCUUUUUUGAAAAAUAAACUUAGAAAUGCAUAUAUACAAUUACAACGCUUUACUCUCAGGUGCGAUCAUACCAGCACUAAUGCACCGGAUCCCAUCAGAACUCCGCAGUUAAGCGGCUUGGGCGAGAGUAGUACUAGGAUGGGUGACCUCCUGGGAAGUCCUUGUGUUGCACCUCUUUUUGCCAAAAUUUCUUGUUCUUUUUGUUAAUUAGCGUAAUUUUACGUCGUUUUUGAAAAAUAAACUUCAAUUGUAUUUCAUUUUUUCCGUUAAUUUACGCAACCUAAAACUCUAUUCGUUAAUUAGCGUAGUUUGACGUCUUUUUUGAAAAAUAAACUUAGAAAUGCAUAUAUACAAUUACAACGCUUUACUCUCAGGUGCGAUCAUACCAGCACUAAUGCACCGGAUCCCAUCAGAACUCCGCAGUUAAGCGGCUUGGGCGAGAGUAGUACUAGGAUGGGUGACCUCCUGGGAAGUCCUUGUGUUGCACCUCUUUUUGCCAAAAUUUCUUGUUCUUUUUGUUAAUUAGCGUAAUUUUACGUCGUUUUUGAAAAAUAAACUUCAAUUGUAUUUCAUUUUUUCCGUUAAUUUACGCAACCUAAAACUCUAUUCGUUAAUUAGCGUAGUUUGACGUCUUUUUUGAAAAAUAAACUUAGAAAUGCAUAUAUACAAUUACAACGCUUUACUCUCAGGUGCGAUCAUACCAGCACUAAUGCACCGGAUCCCAUCAGAACUCCGCAGUUAAGCGGCUUGGGCGAGAGUAGUACUAGGAUGGGUGACCUCCUGGGAAGUCCUUGUGUUGCACCUCUUUUUGCCAAAAUUUCUUGUUCUUUUUGUUAAUUAGCGUAAUUUUACGUCGUUUUUGAAAAAUAAACUUCAAUUGUAUUUCAUUUUUUCCGUUAAUUUACGCAACCUAAAACUCUAUUCGUUAAUUAGCGUAGUUUGACGUCUUUUUUGAAAAAUAAACUUAGAAAUGCAUAUAUACAAUUACAACGCUUUACUCUCAGGUGCGAUCAUACCAGCACUAAUGCACCGGAUCCCAUCAGAACUCCGCAGUUAAGCGGCUUGGGCGAGAGUAGUACUAGGAUGGGUGACCUCCUGGGAAGUCCUUGUGUUGCACCUCUUUUUGCCAAAAUUUCUUGUUCUUUUUGUUAAUUAGCGUAAUUUUACGUCGUUUUUGAAAAAUAAACUUCAAUUGUAUUUCAUUUUUUCCGUUAAUUUACGCAACCUAAAACUCUAUUCGUUAAUUAGCGUAGUUUGACGUCUUUUUUGAAAAAUAAACUUAGAAAUGCAUAUAUACAAUUACAACGCUUUACUCUCAGGUGCGAUCAUACCAGCACUAAUGCACCGGAUCCCAUCAGAACUCCGCAGUUAAGCGUGCUUGGGCGAGAGUAGUACUAGGAUGGGUGACCUCCUGGGAAGUCCUUGUGUUGCACCUCUUUUUGCCAAAAUUUCUUGUUCUUUUUGUUAAUUAGCGUAAUUUUACGUCGUUUUUGAAAAAUAAACUUCAAUUGUAUUUCAUUUUUUCCGUUAAUUUACGCAACCUAAAACUCUAUUCGUUAAUUAGCGUAGUUUGACGUCUUUUUUGAAAAAUAAACUUAGAAAUGCAUAUAUACAAUUACAACGCUUUACUCUCAGGUGCGAUCAUACCAGCACUAAUGCACCGGAUCCCAUCAGAACUCCGCAGUUAAGCGGCUUGGGCGAGAGUAGUACUAGGAUGGGUGACCUCCUGGGAAGUCCUUGUGUUGCACCUCUUUUUGCCAAAAUUUCUUGUUCUUUUUGUUAAUUAGCGUAAUUUUACGUCGUUUUUGAAAAAUAAACUUCAAUUGUAUUUCAUUUUUUCCGUUAAUUUACGCAACCUAAAACUCUAUUCGUUAAUUAGCGUAGUUUGACGUCUUUUUUGAAAAAUAAACUUAGAAAUGCAUAUAUACAAUUACAACGCUUUACUCUCAGGUGCGAUCAUACCAGCACUAAUGCACCGGAUCCCAUCAGAACUCCGCAGUUAAGCGGCUUGGGCGAGAGUAGUACUAGGAUGGGUGACCUCCUGGGAAGUCCUUGUGUUGCACCUCUUUUUGCCAAAAUUUCUUGUUCUUUUUGUUAAUUAGCGUAAUUUUACGUCGUUUUUGAAAAAUAAACUUCAAUUGUAUUUCAUUUUUUCCGUUAAUUUACGCAACCUAAAACUCUAUUCGUUAAUUAGCGUAGUUUGACGUCUUUUUUGAAAAAUAAACUUAGAAAUGCAUAUAUACAAUUACAACGCUUUACUCUCAGGUGCGAUCAUACCAGCACUAAUGCACCGGAUCCCAUCAGAACUCCGCAGUUAAGCGCGCUUGGGCGAGAGUAGUACUAGGAUGGGUGACCUCCUGGGAAGUCCUUGUGUUGCACCUCUUUUUGCCAAAAUUUCUUGUUCUUUUUGUUAAUUAGCGUAAUUUUACGUCGUUUUUGAAAAAUAAACUUCAAUUGUAUUUCAUUUUUUCCGUUAAUUUACGCAACCUAAAACUCUAUUCGUUAAUUAGCGUAGUUUGACGUCUUUUUUGAAAAAUAAACUUAGAAAUGCAUAUAUACAAUUACAACGCUUUACUCUCAGGUGCGAUCAUACCAGCACUAAUGCACCGGAUCCCAUCAGAACUCCGCAGUUAAGCGGCUUGGGCGAGAGUAGUACUAGGAUGGGUGACCUCCUGGGAAGUCCUUGUGUUGCACCUCUUUUUGCCAAAAUUUCUUGUUCUUUUUGUUAAUUAGCGUAAUUUUACGUCGUUUUUGAAAAAUAAACUUCAAUUGUAUUUCAUUUUUUCCGUUAAUUUACGCAACCUAAAACUCUAUUCGUUAAUUAGCGUAGUUUGACGUCUUUUUUGAAAAAUAAACUUAGAAAUGCAUAUAUACAAUUACAACGCUUUACUCUCAGGUGCGAUCAUACCAGCACUAAUGCACCGGAUCCCAUCAGAACUCCGCAGUUAAGCGGCUUGGGCGAGAGUAGUACUAGGAUGGGUGACCUCCUGGGAAGUCCUUGUGUUGCACCUCUUUUUGCCAAAAUUUCUUGUUCUUUUUGUUAAUUAGCGUAAUUUUACGUCGUUUUUGAAAAAUAAACUUCAAUUGUAUUUCAUUUUUUCCGUUAAUUUACGCAACCUAAAACUCUAUUCGUUAAUUAGCGUAGUUUGACGUCUUUUUUGAAAAAUAAACUUAGAAAUGCAUAUAUACAAUUACAACGCUUUACUCUCAGGUGCGAUCAUACCAGCACUAAUGCACCGGAUCCCAUCAGAACUCCGCAGUUAAGCGGCUUGGGCGAGAGUAGUACUAGGAUGGGUGACCUCCUGGGAAGUCCUUGUGUUGCACCUCUUUUUGCCAAAAUUUCUUGUUCUUUUUGUUAAUUAGCGUAAUUUUACGUCGUUUUUGAAAAAUAAACUUCAAUUGUAUUUCAUUUUUUCCGUUAAUUUACGCAACCUAAAACUCUAUUCGUUAAUUAGCGUAGUUUGACGUCUUUUUUGAAAAAUAAACUUAGAAAUGCAUAUAUACAAUUACAACGCUUUACUCUCAGGUGCGAUCAUACCAGCACUAAUGCACCGGAUCCCAUCAGAACUCCGCAGUUAAGCGCGCUUGGGCGAGAGUAGUACUAGGAUGGGUGACCUCCUGGGAAGUCCUUGUGUUGCACCUCUUUUUGCCAAAAUUUCUUGUUCUUUUUGUUAAUUAGCGUAAUUUUACGUCGUUUUUGAAAAAUAAACUUCAAUUGUAUUUCAUUUUUUCCGUUAAUUUACGCAACCUAAAACUCUAUUCGUUAAUUAGCGUAGUUUGACGUCUUUUUUGAAAAAUAAACUUAGAAAUGCAUAUAUACAAUUACAACGCUUUACUCUCAGGUGCGAUCAUACCAGCACUAAUGCACCGGAUCCCAUCAGAACUCCGCAGUUAAGCGGCUUGGGCGAGAGUAGUACUAGGAUGGGUGACCUCCUGGGAAGUCCUUGUGUUGCACCUCUUUUUGCCAAAAUUUCUUGUUCUUUUUGUUAAUUAGCGUAAUUUUACGUCGUUUUUGAAAAAUAAACUUCAAUUGUAUUUCAUUUUUUCCGUUAAUUUACGCAACCUAAAACUCUAUUCGUUAAUUAGCGUAGUUUGACGUCUUUUUUGAAAAAUAAACUUAGAAAUGCAUAUAUACAAUUACAACGCUUUACUCUCAGGUGCGAUCAUACCAGCACUAAUGCACCGGAUCCCAUCAGAACUCCGCAGUUAAGCGGCUUGGGCGAGAGUAGUACUAGGAUGGGUGACCUCCUGGGAAGUCCUUGUGUUGCACCUCUUUUUGCCAAAAUUUCUUGUUCUUUUUGUUAAUUAGCGUAAUUUUACGUCGUUUUUGAAAAAUAAACUUCAAUUGUAUUUCAUUUUUUCCGUUAAUUUACGCAACCUAAAACUCUAUUCGUUAAUUAGCGUAGUUUGACGUCUUUUUUGAAAAAUAAACUUAGAAAUGCAUAUAUACAAUUACAACGCUUUACUCUCAGGUGCGAUCAUACCAGCACUAAUGCACCGGAUCCCAUCAGAACUCCGCAGUUAAGCGCGCUUGGGCGAGAGUAGUACUAGGAUGGGUGACCUCCUGGGAAGUCCUUGUGUUGCACCUCUUUUUGCCAAAAUUUCUUGUUCUUUUUGUUAAUUAGCGUAAUUUUACGUCGUUUUUGAAAAAUAAACUUCAAUUGUAUUUCAUUUUUUCCGUUAAUUUACGCAACCUAAAACUCUAUUCGUUAAUUAGCGUAGUUUGACGUCUUUUUUGAAAAAUAAACUUAGAAAUGCAUAUAUACAAUUACAACGCUUUACUCUCAGGUGCGAUCAUACCAGCACUAAUGCACCGGAUCCCAUCAGAACUCCGCAGUUAAGCGCGCUUGGGCGAGAGUAGUACUAGGAUGGGUGACCUCCUGGGAAGUCCUUGUGUUGCACCUCUUUUUGCCAAAAUUUCUUGUUCUUUUUGUUAAUUAGCGUAAUUUUACGUCGUUUUUGAAAAAUAAACUUCAAUUGUAUUUCAUUUUUUCCGUUAAUUUACGCAACCUAAAACUCUAUUCGUUAAUUAGCGUAGUUUGACGUCUUUUUUGAAAAAUAAACUUAGAAAUGCAUAUAUACAAUUACAACGCUUUACUCUCAGGUGCGAUCAUACCAGCACUAAUGCACCGGAUCCCAUCAGAACUCCGCAGUUAAGCGGCUUGGGCGAGAGUAGUACUAGGAUGGGUGACCUCCUGGGAAGUCCUUGUGUUGCACCUCUUUUUGCCAAAAUUUCUUGUUCUUUUUGUUAAUUAGCGUAAUUUUACGUCGUUUUUGAAAAAUAAACUUCAAUUGUAUUUCAUUUUUUCCGUUAAUUUACGCAACCUAAAACUCUAUUCGUUAAUUAGCGUAGUUUGACGUCUUUUUUGAAAAAUAAACUUAGAAAUGCAUAUAUACAAUUACAACGCUUUACUCUCAGGUGCGAUCAUACCAGCACUAAUGCACCGGAUCCCAUCAGAACUCCGCAGUUAAGCGGCUUGGGCGAGAGUAGUACUAGGAUGGGUGACCUCCUGGGAAGUCCUUGUGUUGCACCUCUUUUUGCCAAAAUUUCUUGUUCUUUUUGUUAAUUAGCGUAAUUUUACGUCGUUUUUGAAAAAUAAACUUCAAUUGUAUUUCAUUUUUUCCGUUAAUUUACGCAACCUAAAACUCUAUUCGUUAAUUAGCGUAGUUUGACGUCUUUUUUGAAAAAUAAACUUAGAAAUGCAUAUAUACAAUUACAACGCUUUACUCUCAGGUGCGAUCAUACCAGCACUAAUGCACCGGAUCCCAUCAGAACUCCGCAGUUAAGCGCGCUUGGGCGAGAGUAGUACUAGGAUGGGUGACCUCCUGGGAAGUCCUUGUGUUGCACCUCUUUUUGCCAAAAUUUCUUGUUCUUUUUGUUAAUUAGCGUAAUUUUACGUCGUUUUUGAAAAAUAAACUUCAAUUGUAUUUCAUUUUUUCCGUUAAUUUACGCAACCUAAAACUCUAUUCGUUAAUUAGCGUAGUUUGACGUCUUUUUUGAAAAAUAAACUUAGAAAUGCAUAUAUACAAUUACAACGCUUUACUCUCAGGUGCGAUCAUACCAGCACUAAUGCACCGGAUCCCAUCAGAACUCCGCAGUUAAGCGGCUUGGGCGAGAGUAGUACUAGGAUGGGUGACCUCCUGGGAAGUCCUUGUGUUGCACCUCUUUUUGCCAAAAUUUCUUGUUCUUUUUGUUAAUUAGCGUAAUUUUACGUCGUUUUUGAAAAAUAAACUUCAAUUGUAUUUCAUUUUUUCCGUUAAUUUACGCAACCUAAAACUCUAUUCGUUAAUUAGCGUAGUUUGACGUCUUUUUUGAAAAAUAAACUUAGAAAUGCAUAUAUACAAUUACAACGCUUUACUCUCAGGUGCGAUCAUACCAGCACUAAUGCACCGGAUCCCAUCAGAACUCCGCAGUUAAGCGGCUUGGGCGAGAGUAGUACUAGGAUGGGUGACCUCCUGGGAAGUCCUUGUGUUGCACCUCUUUUUGCCAAAAUUUCUUGUUCUUUUUGUUAAUUAGCGUAAUUUUACGUCGUUUUUGAAAAAUAAACUUCAAUUGUAUUUCAUUUUUUCCGUUAAUUUACGCAACCUAAAACUCUAUUCGUUAAUUAGCGUAGUUUGACGUCUUUUUUGAAAAAUAAACUUAGAAAUGCAUAUAUACAAUUACAACGCUUUACUCUCAGGUGCGAUCAUACCAGCACUAAUGCACCGGAUCCCAUCAGAACUCCGCAGUUAAGCGCGCUUGGGCGAGAGUAGUACUAGGAUGGGUGACCUCCUGGGAAGUCCUUGUGUUGCACCUCUUUUUGCCAAAAUUUCUUGUUCUUUUUGUUAAUUAGCGUAAUUUUACGUCGUUUUUGAAAAAUAAACUUCAAUUGUAUUUCAUUUUUUCCGUUAAUUUACGCAACCUAAAACUCUAUUCGUUAAUUAGCGUAGUUUGACGUCUUUUUUGAAAAAUAAACUUAGAAAUGCAUAUAUACAAUUACAACGCUUUACUCUCAGGUGCGAUCAUACCAGCACUAAUGCACCGGAUCCCAUCAGAACUCCGCAGUUAAGCGCGCUUGGGCGAGAGUAGUACUAGGAUGGGUGACCUCCUGGGAAGUCCUUGUGUUGCACCUCUUUUUGCCAAAAUUUCUUGUUCUUUUUGUUAAUUAGCGUAAUUUUACGUCGUUUUUGAAAAAUAAACUUCAAUUGUAUUUCAUUUUUUCCGUUAAUUUACGCAACCUAAAACUCUAUUCGUUAAUUAGCGUAGUUUGACGUCUUUUUUGAAAAAUAAACUUAGAAAUGCAUAUAUACAAUUACAACGCUUUACUCUCAGGUGCGAUCAUACCAGCACUAAUGCACCGGAUCCCAUCAGAACUCCGCAGUUAAGCGCGCUUGGGCGAGAGUAGUACUAGGAUGGGUGACCUCCUGGGAAGUCCUUGUGUUGCACCUCUUUUUGCCAAAAUUUCUUGUUCUUUUUGUUAAUUAGCGUAAUUUUACGUCGUUUUUGAAAAAUAAACUUCAAUUGUAUUUCAUUUUUUCCGUUAAUUUACGCAACCUAAAACUCUAUUCGUUAAUUAGCGUAGUUUGACGUCUUUUUUGAAAAAUAAACUUAGAAAUGCAUAUAUACAAUUACAACGCUUUACUCUCAGGUGCGAUCAUACCAGCACUAAUGCACCGGAUCCCAUCAGAACUCCGCAGUUAAGCGGCUUGGGCGAGAGUAGUACUAGGAUGGGUGACCUCCUGGGAAGUCCUUGUGUUGCACCUCUUUUUGCCAAAAUUUCUUGUUCUUUUUGUUAAUUAGCGUAAUUUUACGUCGUUUUUGAAAAAUAAACUUCAAUUGUAUUUCAUUUUUUCCGUUAAUUUACGCAACCUAAAACUCUAUUCGUUAAUUAGCGUAGUUUGACGUCUUUUUUGAAAAAUAAACUUAGAAAUGCAUAUAUACAAUUACAACGCUUUACUCUCAGGUGCGAUCAUACCAGCACUAAUGCACCGGAUCCCAUCAGAACUCCGCAGUUAAGCGCGCUUGGGCGAGAGUAGUACUAGGAUGGGUGACCUCCUGGGAAGUCCUUGUGUUGCACCUCUUUUUGCCAAAAUUUCUUGUUCUUUUUGUUAAUUAGCGUAAUUUUACGUCGUUUUUGAAAAAUAAACUUCAAUUGUAUUUCAUUUUUUCCGUUAAUUUACGCAACCUAAAACUCUAUUCGUUAAUUAGCGUAGUUUGACGUCUUUUUUGAAAAAUAAACUUAGAAAUGCAUAUAUACAAUUACAACGCUUUACUCUCAGGUGCGAUCAUACCAGCACUAAUGCACCGGAUCCCAUCAGAACUCCGCAGUUAAGCGGCUUGGGCGAGAGUAGUACUAGGAUGGGUGACCUCCUGGGAAGUCCUUGUGUUGCACCUCUUUUUGCCAAAAUUUCUUGUUCUUUUUGUUAAUUAGCGUAAUUUUACGUCGUUUUUGAAAAAUAAACUUCAAUUGUAUUUCAUUUUUUCCGUUAAUUUACGCAACCUAAAACUCUAUUCGUUAAUUAGCGUAGUUUGACGUCUUUUUUGAAAAAUAAACUUAGAAAUGCAUAUAUACAAUUACAACGCUUUACUCUCAGGUGCGAUCAUACCAGCACUAAUGCACCGGAUCCCAUCAGAACUCCGCAGUUAAGCGCGCUUGGGCGAGAGUAGUACUAGGAUGGGUGACCUCCUGGGAAGUCCUUGUGUUGCACCUCUUUUUGCCAAAAUUUCUUGUUCUUUUUGUUAAUUAGCGUAAUUUUACGUCGUUUUUGAAAAAUAAACUUCAAUUGUAUUUCAUUUUUUCCGUUAAUUUACGCAACCUAAAACUCUAUUCGUUAAUUAGCGUAGUUUGACGUCUUUUUUGAAAAAUAAACUUAGAAAUGCAUAUAUACAAUUACAACGCUUUACUCUCAGGUGCGAUCAUACCAGCACUAAUGCACCGGAUCCCAUCAGAACUCCGCAGUUAAGCGCGCUUGGGCGAGAGUAGUACUAGGAUGGGUGACCUCCUGGGAAGUCCUUGUGUUGCACCUCUUUUUGCCAAAAUUUCUUGUUCUUUUUGUUAAUUAGCGUAAUUUUACGUCGUUUUUGAAAAAUAAACUUCAAUUGUAUUUCAUUUUUUCCGUUAAUUUACGCAACCUAAAACUCUAUUCGUUAAUUAGCGUAGUUUGACGUCUUUUUUGAAAAAUAAACUUAGAAAUGCAUAUAUACAAUUACAACGCUUUACUCUCAGGUGCGAUCAUACCAGCACUAAUGCACCGGAUCCCAUCAGAACUCCGCAGUUAAGCGCGCUUGGGCGAGAGUAGUACUAGGAUGGGUGACCUCCUGGGAAGUCCUUGUGUUGCACCUCUUUUUGCCAAAAUUUCUUGUUCUUUUUGUUAAUUAGCGUAAUUUUACGUCGUUUUUGAAAAAUAAACUUCAAUUGUAUUUCAUUUUUUCCGUUAAUUUACGCAACCUAAAACUCUAUUCGUUAAUUAGCGUAGUUUGACGUCUUUUUUGAAAAAUAAACUUAGAAAUGCAUAUAUACAAUUACAACGCUUUACUCUCAGGUGCGAUCAUACCAGCACUAAUGCACCGGAUCCCAUCAGAACUCCGCAGUUAAGCGCGCUUGGGCGAGAGUAGUACUAGGAUGGGUGACCUCCUGGGAAGUCCUUGUGUUGCACCUCUUUUUGCCAAAAUUUCUUGUUCUUUUUGUUAAUUAGCGUAAUUUUACGUCGUUUUUGAAAAAUAAACUUCAAUUGUAUUUCAUUUUUUCCGUUAAUUUACGCAACCUAAAACUCUAUUCGUUAAUUAGCGUAGUUUGACGUCUUUUUUGAAAAAUAAACUUAGAAAUGCAUAUAUACAAUUACAACGCUUUACUCUCAGGUGCGAUCAUACCAGCACUAAUGCACCGGAUCCCAUCAGAACUCCGCAGUUAAGCGCGCUUGGGCGAGAGUAGUACUAGGAUGGGUGACCUCCUGGGAAGUCCUUGUGUUGCACCUCUUUUUGCCAAAAUUUCUUGUUCUUUUUGUUAAUUAGCGUAAUUUUACGUCGUUUUUGAAAAAUAAACUUCAAUUGUAUUUCAUUUUUUCCGUUAAUUUACGCAACCUAAAACUCUAUUCGUUAAUUAGCGUAGUUUGACGUCUUUUUUGAAAAAUAAACUUAGAAAUGCAUAUAUACAAUUACAACGCUUUACUCUCAGGUGCGAUCAUACCAGCACUAAUGCACCGGAUCCCAUCAGAACUCCGCAGUUAAGCGCGCUUGGGCGAGAGUAGUACUAGGAUGGGUGACCUCCUGGGAAGUCCUUGUGUUGCACCUCUUUUUGCCAAAAUUUCUUGUUCUUUUUGUUAAUUAGCGUAAUUUUACGUCGUUUUUGAAAAAUAAACUUCAAUUGUAUUUCAUUUUUUCCGUUAAUUUACGCAACCUAAAACUCUAUUCGUUAAUUAGCGUAGUUUGACGUCUUUUUUGAAAAAUAAACUUAGAAAUGCAUAUAUACAAUUACAACGCUUUACUCUCAGGUGCGAUCAUACCAGCACUAAUGCACCGGAUCCCAUCAGAACUCCGCAGUUAAGCGCGCUUGGGCGAGAGUAGUACUAGGAUGGGUGACCUCCUGGGAAGUCCUUGUGUUGCACCUCUUUUUGCCAAAAUUUCUUGUUCUUUUUGUUAAUUAGCGUAAUUUUACGUCGUUUUUGAAAAAUAAACUUCAAUUGUAUUUCAUUUUUUCCGUUAAUUUACGCAACCUAAAACUCUAUUCGUUAAUUAGCGUAGUUUGACGUCUUUUUUGAAAAAUAAACUUAGAAAUGCAUAUAUACAAUUACAACGCUUUACUCUCAGGUGCGAUCAUACCAGCACUAAUGCACCGGAUCCCAUCAGAACUCCGCAGUUAAGCGCGCUUGGGCGAGAGUAGUACUAGGAUGGGUGACCUCCUGGGAAGUCCUUGUGUUGCACCUCUUUUUGCCAAAAUUUCUUGUUCUUUUUGUUAAUUAGCGUAAUUUUACGUCGUUUUUGAAAAAUAAACUUCAAUUGUAUUUCAUUUUUUCCGUUAAUUUACGCAACCUAAAACUCUAUUCGUUAAUUAGCGUAGUUUGACGUCUUUUUUGAAAAAUAAACUUAGAAAUGCAUAUAUACAAUUACAACGCUUUACUCUCAGGUGCGAUCAUACCAGCACUAAUGCACCGGAUCCCAUCAGAACUCCGCAGUUAAGCGGCUUGGGCGAGAGUAGUACUAGGAUGGGUGACCUCCUGGGAAGUCCUUGUGUUGCACCUCUUUUUGCCAAAAUUUCUUGUUCUUUUUGUUAAUUAGCGUAAUUUUACGUCGUUUUUGAAAAAUAAACUUCAAUUGUAUUUCAUUUUUUCCGUUAAUUUACGCAACCUAAAACUCUAUUCGUUAAUUAGCGUAGUUUGACGUCUUUUUUGAAAAAUAAACUUAGAAAUGCAUAUAUACAAUUACAACGCUUUACUCUCAGGUGCGAUCAUACCAGCACUAAUGCACCGGAUCCCAUCAGAACUCCGCAGUUAAGCGCGCUUGGGCGAGAGUAGUACUAGGAUGGGUGACCUCCUGGGAAGUCCUUGUGUUGCACCUCUUUUUGCCAAAAUUUCUUGUUCUUUUUGUUAAUUAGCGUAAUUUUACGUCGUUUUUGAAAAAUAAACUUCAAUUGUAUUUCAUUUUUUCCGUUAAUUUACGCAACCUAAAACUCUAUUCGUUAAUUAGCGUAGUUUGACGUCUUUUUUGAAAAAUAAACUUAGAAAUGCAUAUAUACAAUUACAACGCUUUACUCUCAGGUGCGAUCAUACCAGCACUAAUGCACCGGAUCCCAUCAGAACUCCGCAGUUAAGCGGCUUGGGCGAGAGUAGUACUAGGAUGGGUGACCUCCUGGGAAGUCCUUGUGUUGCACCUCUUUUUGCCAAAAUUUCUUGUUCUUUUUGUUAAUUAGCGUAAUUUUACGUCGUUUUUGAAAAAUAAACUUCAAUUGUAUUUCAUUUUUUCCGUUAAUUUACGCAACCUAAAACUCUAUUCGUUAAUUAGCGUAGUUUGACGUCUUUUUUGAAAAAUAAACUUAGAAAUGCAUAUAUACAAUUACAACGCUUUACUCUCAGGUGCGAUCAUACCAGCACUAAUGCACCGGAUCCCAUCAGAACUCCGCAGUUAAGCGCGCUUGGGCGAGAGUAGUACUAGGAUGGGUGACCUCCUGGGAAGUCCUUGUGUUGCACCUCUUUUUGCCAAAAUUUCUUGUUCUUUUUGUUAAUUAGCGUAAUUUUACGUCGUUUUUGAAAAAUAAACUUCAAUUGUAUUUCAUUUUUUCCGUUAAUUUACGCAACCUAAAACUCUAUUCGUUAAUUAGCGUAGUUUGACGUCUUUUUUGAAAAAUAAACUUAGAAAUGCAUAUAUACAAUUACAACGCUUUACUCUCAGGUGCGAUCAUACCAGCACUAAUGCACCGGAUCCCAUCAGAACUCCGCAGUUAAGCGGCUUGGGCGAGAGUAGUACUAGGAUGGGUGACCUCCUGGGAAGUCCUUGUGUUGCACCUCUUUUUGCCAAAAUUUCUUGUUCUUUUUGUUAAUUAGCGUAAUUUUACGUCGUUUUUGAAAAAUAAACUUCAAUUGUAUUUCAUUUUUUCCGUUAAUUUACGCAACCUAAAACUCUAUUCGUUAAUUAGCGUAGUUUGACGUCUUUUUUGAAAAAUAAACUUAGAAAUGCAUAUAUACAAUUACAACGCUUUACUCUCAGGUGCGAUCAUACCAGCACUAAUGCACCGGAUCCCAUCAGAACUCCGCAGUUAAGCGCGCUUGGGCGAGAGUAGUACUAGGAUGGGUGACCUCCUGGGAAGUCCUUGUGUUGCACCUCUUUUUGCCAAAAUUUCUUGUUCUUUUUGUUAAUUAGCGUAAUUUUACGUCGUUUUUGAAAAAUAAACUUCAAUUGUAUUUCAUUUUUUCCGUUAAUUUACGCAACCUAAAACUCUAUUCGUUAAUUAGCGUAGUUUGACGUCUUUUUUGAAAAAUAAACUUAGAAAUGCAUAUAUACAAUUACAACGCUUUACUCUCAGGUGCGAUCAUACCAGCACUAAUGCACCGGAUCCCAUCAGAACUCCGCAGUUAAGCGGCUUGGGCGAGAGUAGUACUAGGAUGGGUGACCUCCUGGGAAGUCCUUGUGUUGCACCUCUUUUUGCCAAAAUUUCUUGUUCUUUUUGUUAAUUAGCGUAAUUUUACGUCGUUUUUGAAAAAUAAACUUCAAUUGUAUUUCAUUUUUUCCGUUAAUUUACGCAACCUAAAACUCUAUUCGUUAAUUAGCGUAGUUUGACGUCUUUUUUGAAAAAUAAACUUAGAAAUGCAUAUAUACAAUUACAACGCUUUACUCUCAGGUGCGAUCAUACCAGCACUAAUGCACCGGAUCCCAUCAGAACUCCGCAGUUAAGCGGCUUGGGCGAGAGUAGUACUAGGAUGGGUGACCUCCUGGGAAGUCCUUGUGUUGCACCUCUUUUUGCCAAAAUUUCUUGUUCUUUUUGUUAAUUAGCGUAAUUUUACGUCGUUUUUGAAAAAUAAACUUCAAUUGUAUUUCAUUUUUUCCGUUAAUUUACGCAACCUAAAACUCUAUUCGUUAAUUAGCGUAGUUUGACGUCUUUUUUGAAAAAUAAACUUAGAAAUGCAUAUAUACAAUUACAACGCUUUACUCUCAGGUGCGAUCAUACCAGCACUAAUGCACCGGAUCCCAUCAGAACUCCGCAGUUAAGCGUGCAAAAUCCGAAAAUUUCUCCAG
This 15537-nucleotide long non-coding RNA is filed under the name Medicago truncatula (barrel medic). Lineage: Eukaryota; Viridiplantae; Streptophyta; Magnoliopsida; Fabales; Fabaceae. The record is from RNAcentral.